Molecule: long non-coding RNA, 293 nt
Filed under: Phoenix dactylifera (date palm)
Lineage: Eukaryota; Viridiplantae; Streptophyta; Magnoliopsida; Arecales; Arecaceae
Description: long non-coding RNA (PDAC_LNC015028)
Source: RNAcentral
GGACCUACGGCGCCCCGCGGCCCCCCACCUGGCCGUUCCACCCUUCCUCUUUCGUCUUUGUGUUAUACUUUCGAUCCCUCUGGUUUGGAAUUAUAUCCUUUCCUAAAUCCAGACACAGGAUGAGGUUGCUAUCUUGAGGGAUUUUUUCCCACUCAAAGGCGAAUCAGCGAACUGCGCAGCCGAUGGAGAGAGCAGCGGCCGAUUCCCGCAGCAGCAGCAGCAGCACCGCCGCCGUUCAAGCGACCAACGACGAUGCUGCCGCCAGCAAGCUGUGCGUGUCCAUCACCCCUCGU